UCAGUCGACUCCUACGGGGAGGCAGCAGUGGGGAAUAUUGCACAAUGGGGGAAACCCUGAUGCAGCCAUGCCGCGUGUGUGAAGAAGGCCUUCGGGUUGUAAAGCACUUUCAGUAGGGAGGAAGGUAGUGUAGUUAACACCUGCAUUAUUUGACGUUACCUACAGAAGAAGCACCGGCUAACUCCGUGCCAGCAGCCGCGGUAAUACGGAGGGUGCGAGCGUUAAUCGGAAUUACUGGGCGUAAAGCGCAUGCAGGCGGCCUGUUAAGUCAGAUGUGAAAGCCCGGGGCUUAACCUCGGAAUUGCAUUUGAAACUGGCAGGCUAGAGUCUUGUAGAGGGGGGUAGGAAUUUCAGGUGUAGCGGUGAAAUGCGUAGAGAUCUGAAGGAAUACCAGUGGCGAAGGCGGCCCCCUGGACAAAGACUGACGCUCAGAUGCGAAAGCGUGGGGAGCAAACAGGAUUAGAUACCCUGGUG
RNAcentral lists this ribosomal RNA (474 nucleotides) under uncultured bacterium. RNAcentral's name for it is "bacterial SSU rRNA". It matches the Rfam family "Bacterial small subunit ribosomal RNA", at positions 328 to 792 of the family's 1533-position model. The record is from RNAcentral.